Molecule: unclassified non-coding RNA, 356 nt
Filed under: uncultured fungus
Lineage: Eukaryota; Fungi
Description: partial contains small subunit ribosomal RNA, internal transcribed spacer 1, and 5.8S ribosomal RNA
Rfam family: Eukaryotic small subunit ribosomal RNA (bases 1-73)
Source: RNAcentral
CCAAACUUGGUCAUUUAGAGGAAGUAAAAGUCGUAACAAGGUUUCCGUAGGUGAACCUGCGGAAGGAUCAUUAAUGAAUUAAAUUCUGUCGAGUUGUUGCUGGUCUCUUUUAUUGAGACAAGUGCACACUUGACUCGAUUUAUUAACCACCUGUGCAUCUUUUGUAGACUUGGAAUAAUGCUCGAAUGUGUUUACUCACUCGGAUUGAAGGAUUGCUCUGGUUUAGAGCUUUCAGUCGAUUUUUCAAGUCUAUAUCUUCUAUAUACUCUAUUAAUGUAUGUCAGUGGGCUAUUGGAUAAAUUAAUACAACUUUCAACAACGGAUCUCUUGGCUCUCGCAUCGAUGAAGAACGCAGC